CCUACGGGAGGCAGCAGUGGGGAAUAUUGGACAAUGGGCGAAAGCCUGAUCCAGCCAUGCCGCGUGUGUGAAGAAGGUCUUCGGAUUGUAAAGCACUUUAAGUUGGGAGGAAGGGCAGUUGCCUAAUACGUAACUGUUUUGACGUUACCGACAGAAUAAGCACCGGGCUAACUCUGUGCCAGCAGCCGCGGUAAU
This 195-nucleotide ribosomal RNA is filed under the name uncultured Pseudomonas sp. RNAcentral describes it as "partial 16S ribosomal RNA". It matches the Rfam family "Bacterial small subunit ribosomal RNA", at positions 338 to 524 of the family's 1533-position model. Lineage: Bacteria; Pseudomonadati; Pseudomonadota; Gammaproteobacteria; Pseudomonadales; Pseudomonadaceae. The record is from RNAcentral.